UACGUAGGGUGCAAGCGUUAAUCGGAAUUACUGGGCGUAAAGCGCGUGUAGGCGGUCUCGCAAGUCGGAUGUGAAAGCCCAGGGCUCAACCCUGGAAGUGCACUCGAUACUGCGAGGCUAGAGUCCCGGAGAGGAUGGUGGAACUCUCGGUGUAGGAGGUGAAAUUCGUAGAUAUCGAAGAAGAAACACCGGUGGCGAAGGCGGCCAUCUGGACGGUGACUGACGCUGAGACGCGAAAGCGUGGG
This 245-nucleotide ribosomal RNA is filed under the name uncultured bacterium. RNAcentral describes it as "partial 16S ribosomal RNA". It matches the Rfam family "Bacterial small subunit ribosomal RNA", at positions 524 to 765 of the family's 1533-position model. The record is from RNAcentral.